RNAcentral lists this long non-coding RNA (1079 nucleotides) under Marmota monax (woodchuck). Lineage: Eukaryota; Metazoa; Chordata; Mammalia; Rodentia; Sciuridae. The record is from RNAcentral.
GUCAAGGCCAGGGGCCCCGUCACUCCUGAAGAUCCAGGCUUCCCCUCAGUGCCCCCGGCCAUCCCAGCCCCUCCUGAGCAGCAGGCAGGGGCCCAGGCUCCUGAGAGCACCGGAGGGUCCCCUCGGGAUGGCUGCUGCCGGGCGCGGGGGCCUGGACGCGUCACACCUCUCCGGCUCCAUCCUGCCCCCUCCCAGGCUCUGUAAGCUGCACCUGUAGCUCCUCAAGAUAGGGACACGGCUGACCUCUGCCAAGGGCAAAGUGACCACCGUAGGGCCGACCGGCUGUGGGAGGCAGCACGGCCCUGCCGCCCUGGGGCACAGUGGCAGCCGCCUGCUCUGCUUCCUCCUUAAGGGAUGUGACUAGGUGGGGGGCCCCUCUCUGGAAGGACCCACUGGGCUCGUCCCAGCUCCGUCAGGCCCACCAGACUGGCCCGAUGAGAUGGGCCCUAGAACAGGGACUGUCCCCUUGGCACUGGGGACCUUGGGGCCGGCGGGUGUCAUGGGUGCCAGCAGCACUCCUGGCUCUGGGCUGGGCUGGGGCAGUGUGACCUGUGCCCCUGCUCCAGGCCCUCCACUUGGCUCCUGGCACGGCAGAGUGCUGGGGGUCAGAAAGGACCCUGGUGAGAGCCAGCCCAGGUCCAAGGCCAUCACAUUCUAGAGAGGGGUGUGGCACCAACACAGUGCCACAUCCAGUAGCAAGAGGGCCCUGAGGAGAGAUGGCAAAGGGACAGGGACGUUCCACCCAGGGGCCAGGUGACACCUGAGAGGCACCAGCGGAAGAGCAGUCAGUCCAAAGGCCCUGGGGCAGCUCCUGUGCCUGGCUGCUGUGCGAAGAGCUCAGGUGUUCCGGCGCUUUCCUGCCACAGGGAGGCUUCAUCAGCUCCCCUCCUCCAAGGUGAUGGUGAGGAGCCCCCAUCCCUCAGGAGCGUCCAGGCCACCUGUGGGGCCGGGCAGGAGCUCGGGGGAGGCGCGUGUCCUCCGUGCUGGGCUGUGGUCCUGGGGAGCCACAGAUACUGACGGGCAGAAACGGGCUUAGAGAUGGCAGCCCAUUUGUUUUGGAAGACAAGCUGCGUUUUGAC